UACAGAGGGUGCAAGCGUUAAUCGGAUUUACUGGGCGUAAAGCGCGCGUAGGUGGCCAAUUAAGUCAAAUGUGAAAUCCCCGAGCUUAACUUGGGAAUUGCAUUCGAUACUGGUUGGCUAGAGUAUGGGAGAGGAUGGUAGAAUUCCAGGUGUAGCGGUGAAAUGUGUAGAGAUCUGGAGGAAUACCGAUGGCGAAGGCAGCCAUCUGGCCUAAUACUGACACUGAGGUGCGAAAGCAUGGGGAGCAAACAGG
Molecule: ribosomal RNA, 253 nt
Filed under: uncultured bacterium
Lineage: Bacteria
Description: partial 16S ribosomal RNA
Rfam family: Bacterial small subunit ribosomal RNA
Source: RNAcentral